This 95-nucleotide ribosomal RNA is filed under the name Acanthosepion pharaonis. The record is from RNAcentral. Lineage: Eukaryota; Metazoa; Mollusca; Cephalopoda; Sepiida; Sepiidae.
UUACGGUCAAAUCACGCUGAAAACACCGGUUCUCGUUCGAUCACCGAAGUUAAGCAUCGUAGAGCCAGGUCAGUACUUAGAUGGGGACCGCUUGG